AUGAACGCUGGCGGCGUGCCUAAUACAUGCAAGUCGGGCGAACGGACGAGAAGCUUGCUUCUCUGAUGUUAGCGGCGGACGGGUGAGUAACACGUGGAUAACCUACCUAUAAGACUGGGAUAACUUCGGGAAACCGGAGCUAAUACCGGAUAAUAUUUUGAACCGCAUGGUUCAAAAGUGAAAGACGGUCUUGCUGUCACUUAUAGAUGGAUCCGCGCUGCAUUAGCUAGUUGGUAAGGUAACGGCUUACCAAGGCAACGAUGCAUAGCCGACCUGAGAGGGUGAUCGGCCACACUGGAACUGAGACACGGUCCAGACUCCUACGGGAGGCAGCAGUAGGGAAUCUUCCGCAAUGGGCGAAAGCCUGACGGAGCAACGCCGCGUGAGUGAUGAAGGUCUUCGGAUCGUAAAACUCUGUUAUUAGGGAAGAACAUAUGUGUAAGUAACUGUGCACAUCUUGACGGUACCUAAUCAGAAAGCCACGGCUAACUACGUG
Molecule: ribosomal RNA, 496 nt
Filed under: uncultured bacterium
Lineage: Bacteria
Description: partial 16S ribosomal RNA
Rfam family: Bacterial small subunit ribosomal RNA
Source: RNAcentral